UAGGUUGACAGUAUCCACUAUACAGUUAUGUUUUCUAAUUUCAUGUAUUUUAUUUUAGCCAAUGAUCAACAUACUUUAUUGCACAUAAUUCCCUUUUUUAUUCCAAAAUCUUAUUAACUUGGUUUUUCUUAUUUGAAAAUACUUCCAAGGUUUUCAUAAAAAACAAAAACAACAAAUAAGGACUCUGGCUACUCUCAGUCUUUACACAACUGGAAUGCUUUUUUUCUAAUCUUGUAUCAACUUUUAUGUUGAGAAAUGAGUUAAAUCAGAAUUUUAAAAAGAUUAAACAUACAGGGUUUGAUGGGUCUGCUUUGAUGUGUUGUUCUUCCCGCACGGACUUGGCCCAUUAGUGCCCCGGAGUUUGGGGGAGGGUCUCCUCCGCCCCCGACUCGGUGGACCGAUGGGAACUACAUUACCCAGGAGAUUGUGUGCGGACCGGCCUUGUUCUCCACACUAGUGAUGGACCCGAACAGGGGCUCUUCCGGGAUUGUGAACUAGGAGUGGGCGGGACUUCCGGAUCCUUCCUGAAGGAGGUCGUUUGGCUGCUUUUGCUGCCGUCUGCAGGACCCGAGGCUCAGGAUCACUCGGUGGAGCCGAGCUUAGAGAAACUGGAAAGAACCCGAGGGCCGCCGUCCACACUGCCCAGGAGUGAGCGGGUUGCGGAACCCACUUCCGGGAUUUUCGGCCUAGGUCUCCGCCAUUAUCCUGCGCGUCUCCUGGCACCACCGCGCCCACAGGGUCCUAUGUCAACCAACGCGGUGCAGGACCCGGCCCAGAGUCCAUGGCUUUGCUUUUCAUUGGCUGAGUCCUUUCCAGGAAAGAAGGAGUCUUCAUCCUUUUGGAUUCCGUUAUUGUUUCAGGUUCCCAUGGUAGCAGCAGCAUUUAUGGCCCCUGGACAGGGCCAUGUGAUCUUUGAGGAUGUGGCUGUGUCCUUCUCCCAGGAGGAGUGGGGUCUCCUUAACAAUGCUCAGAGACUCCUGUACUGUGACGUGAUGCUGGAGAACCUGUCACUUAUAGCCUCCCUGGGUUGUUGGCAUGGAGUAGAAGCUGAGGAGGCCGUUUCUGAACAAUGUGUUUCUGUAGAACAAGUGACGGAAAACAGGAAUCCAAAGCUGGAGCCAUCUAUCCUGAAGACUCUUACUUCUGUUACGAGUGUCCUGGUGGAGAAAGAUGUUUUGUACUUGGCUGACAAUAUGUUCACGUGCGGAGAGGUUGAGAAGGCUUUCCUAGGCAGCUUGGGCUUUCCCCAGCACCAGCCCUCCCAUGAUGGAGAGCAUCCACAUAGAAGCAGGCAGAGCAGGGAGGUCUCUCACCCUGGGCAAGGGCAUCACAAGUGCAGCGAAUGUGGUAAAGCCUUCAGUAAAAAGUUUAAAUUCAUGGAGCACCUGAGAGUUCACACUGGAGAAAAACCUUAUGAGUGCAGUGACUGCGGGAAGUUCUUUAGACACAGCUCCAGUCUUAUUCAUCAUCGGAAAGUUCACACAGGAGAAAGGCCUUAUGAAUGCUGUAAUUGUGGGAAAGUCUUUGCCCACAAAUAUAAACUUUUUGAGCACCAGAGAAUCCACACUGGAAAAAGACCAUAUGAGUGUAAUGAAUGUGGGAAAGCCUUCCUUCGCAAGGAUUCACUUGUUCAGCACCAAAAAAUCCACACUGGAGAAAAUCCUCAUAAGUGCGGUGAAUGUGGAAAGUACUUCCUGUACAAAAAUAACCUUCUUGUGCACCAGAGGAUCCACAGUGGAGAAAGGCCUUAUGGGUGUAGCAAAUGUGGAAAGUCCUUUGUCUUCAAAAAAAGGCUUCUUUAUCACCAGCGAAUCCACACUGGAGAAAGGCCUUACAUGUGCAGUGAAUGUGGGAAAGCCUAUGUCUACAAAGGAAGUCUUAUUGUGCAUAAGAGAAUUCACACUUUAGAGAAGGCUUAUGGGUGUAACAAAUGUGGGAAAUUCUUUACAAGCAGUUUUGCCCUCAAUAGACAUGAGAAUGUUCACACUGCACAAAGGUGUUAUGAGUGCAGCGAAUGUGGGAAAGCUCUCAACGGCAAAGUUAAACUUGCUGAGCACCAGAGAAUCCAUACUGGAGAAAGACCCUAUAAGUGUAAUGAAUGUGAGAAAGCCUUCAUGCGCAAGUAUACACUUGUUCAGCACCAAAAAGUCCACACUGGAGUAAAGCCUUUUAAAUGCAGUGAAUGUGGGAAGCCCUUCACUUACAAAACAAGUCUUGUUGUCCACCAGAGAAUCCACACUGGAGAAAGGCCUUAUAUGUGCAGUGAAUGUGGGGAAGUCUUUGUCUACAGAAGAAGUCUUGUUGUCCAUCAGAGAAUCCACACUAGAGAAAAGCCUUAUGAAUGUAGUUCUUUGUAAGCAGCUCCAAGCUCACAAAAAACAAAGUUCACACUGGGGCAAUGCCUUCUGGACUUAUGCUUUCCUUCACUUGAGUUAAUAUCUAGCAGCACAACUCCUAUGUAGUAGAGUAGGUGAAUGUAUACCUUAUAUGUGGCCAGUCAAACUUUUCUAAAAUGGGAGUACCUUUUUAUAGUCUCACGAGAAGCAGCAGAACAUGAGUUCCUGUUUUUUACAUUUUUACCAACACUUGACACUGUCAGUGCACUUACAGGUGAUGUGGUAAUCACCUCCAAGAGCAGAUGACAUCGUUGGGUUCUAAACAUUUUUCUCGGGCUUUUGUGUCCCCAUUGCAGACUCUCAGUUUCUGCCACGGCAGUCCUUGUUACGGGAGCAAAUACACAUUUGAGUCUAGAUUGUGUAACUAUGAUCAUUCUAAAAAAGUCCAUCAAAGGGCUUCCCUGGUAGUGCAGUGGUUAAGAAGCCACCUGCCAAUGCAGGCGACAAGGGUUUGAUCCCUGGUUCGGGAAGAUCCCACAUGCCGUGGAGCAACUAAGCCCAGGUACCACAACUACUGAGCCUGUGCUCUAGAGCCUGCAAGCCACAACUACUGAGCCCACAUGCCACAACUACUGAAGCCCAUGUGCAUAGAGCCUGUGCUCCACAACAAGAGAAGCCACCACAAUGAGAAGCCCGUGCACUGCAAUGAAAAGUAGCCCCUGCUCACCACAACUAGAGAAGACCCAUGCGCAGCAGCAAAGACCCAAUGCAGCCAAAAAUAAAUAAAUAAAUUUAUUUUUUAAAUACAAUAAAAUUAAAAAGUCCAUCAAAGAAUAAAACUUCUCACUUGUUUUACAAUAAAUAAAUAAAUCAGAGUCCUACAUUGAAAUGCCUAAAGUCUGUUUCACUUGGCUGUUUGACUGACUCUAAAACAAAAUAUGUUCAGAAGUGAGACUCUAAUAUUUCCUCCUAACCUCCUCCAUGAAUACCACCACUACCCUUUCUAUCUCAGUUAAUGACAAAUCCAUCCUUCCGGCUUGGACAAAAACCUUGAGUCAUCUUGAUUACUGUAGUGUGAGGCUGAUUAGGAGGUGAAGCCAUGUUCUGAUCUGAGGACUUGGAGCUGUGUAACCACAAUCAUGUGCAUAUCCUCAGUAAUAA
Globicephala melas (long-finned pilot whale) is the source of this 3497-nucleotide RNA transcript. It is a transcript of the gene named zinc finger protein 549-like, with no coding region annotated. The record is from RefSeq and is a predicted model, not a curated record. Lineage: Eukaryota; Metazoa; Chordata; Mammalia; Artiodactyla; Delphinidae.